AUUCCGUGAUAAGGGCAUUACUAUAAUAAUUUAUUGUACCUUUCCCAUGCCUCAUGCAAGGACUCAUCAUCUAUUUGUUGGAAAUCAGUGAUCUUAGUGCUCAACUU
Molecule: non-coding RNA, 107 nt
Organism: Gossypium hirsutum (cotton)
Lineage: Eukaryota; Viridiplantae; Streptophyta; Magnoliopsida; Malvales; Malvaceae
Source: Rfam